Molecule: long non-coding RNA, 891 nt
Filed under: Homo sapiens (human)
Lineage: Eukaryota; Metazoa; Chordata; Mammalia; Primates; Hominidae
Description: non-protein coding lnc-HNRNPCL2-1:2
Source: RNAcentral
GAGUUUUUCCUUGUAGAUUUGUCAGAAUGAGCCUCCAGACCCCAUCCAGACUCCUGGAGCUGGCAGGGCAGAGCCUGAUGAGGAAGCAGUUCUUGACUAUCUUCACCCUGGACUAGCUGCCCAGGGAGGUCUCCCCUCUGACGUUCAUGGAGGCCUUCAGCAUGAGAUGUUGUGAGGCCCUGAAGCUGAUGGUGCAGGCCUGGUCCUCCCUUCACCUCCCUCUGGGAUCCCUGAUGAAGACAACUCAUCUGGAGACCUUGCAAGCUGUGCUGAAGGGACUUGAUACACUAGUGUCCCAGAAGGUUUGCCCCAGAGGUGGAAACUUCAAGUGCUGGAUUUGAGGGAUGUUGAUGAGAAUUUCUGGACCAUAUGGUCUGGAGUCAGGGUCCUCCCCUGCUCCCCAGAGGCCAUGAGUAAGAGGCAGACAGUGGAGGACUGUCCAAGGAUGGGAGAGUGCCAGCCCUUGAAGGUGUUCAUAGACCUCUGCCUGAAGGAAAGUACACUGGAUGAAUGCCUGAGCUACCUCUGAAGGUGGAUCCACUACAGAAGAGGCCUAGUGCACCUGUGUUGUAGUAAGGUGCAGAAUUACUCAAUGCCCACUUCAAGUUUCAGAAAUCUAUUGGAAAGGAUAUACCCAGACAGUAUCCAGGAGUUGGAAGUCUGGAAAAAGUGCUCUCUCAAUAAAACGGGAAAGUUUGCCCCUUACCUGAGCCAGAUGAGCAAUCUUCGCAAACUUUUUAGCCUUCGGUUAUGAGCCUGAAUUAUACGUGAGCGGCCAAUGGCAGUUCAUUCCUGACUUGGAUUGGCCAUUCCUGUGCCUGUACUACCCCCAGAUGCAUUAUAUAAGAAAGGUCAGUAAUAUCAAAGAGCACCUGGAGCACCUGCUCAGGU